UGGGAUUACACGCGUGAGCCGCCAUGCCC
This 29-nucleotide non-coding RNA is filed under the name Homo sapiens (human). The record is from RNAcentral. Lineage: Eukaryota; Metazoa; Chordata; Mammalia; Primates; Hominidae.